Molecule: ribosomal RNA, 939 nt
Filed under: Klebsiella pneumoniae CHS 07
Lineage: Bacteria; Pseudomonadati; Pseudomonadota; Gammaproteobacteria; Enterobacterales; Enterobacteriaceae
Description: bacterial SSU rRNA
Rfam family: Bacterial small subunit ribosomal RNA
Source: RNAcentral
CGGAUGUGAAAUCCCCGGGCUCAACCUGGGAACUGCAUUCGAAACUGGCAGGCUAGAGUCUUGUAGAGGGGGGUAGAAUUCCAGGUGUAGCGGUGAAAUGCGUAGAGAUCUGGAGGAAUACCGGUGGCGAAGGCGGCCCCCUGGACAAAGACUGACGCUCAGGUGCGAAAGCGUGGGGAGCAAACAGGAUUAGAUACCCUGGUAGUCCACGCCGUAAACGAUGUCGAUUUGGAGGUUGUGCCCUUGAGGCGUGGCUUCCGGAGCUAACGCGUUAAAUCGACCGCCUGGGGAGUACGGCCGCAAGGUUAAAACUCAAAUGAAUUGACGGGGGCCCGCACAAGCGGUGGAGCAUGUGGUUUAAUUCGAUGCAACGCGAAGAACCUUACCUGGUCUUGACAUCCACAGAACUUUCCAGAGAUGGAUUGGUGCCUUCGGGAACUGUGAGACAGGUGCUGCAUGGCUGUCGUCAGCUCGUGUUGUGAAAUGUUGGGUUAAGUCCCGCAACGAGCGCAACCCUUAUCCUUUGUUGCCAGCGGUUCGGCCGGGAACUCAAAGGAGACUGCCAGUGAUAAACUGGAGGAAGGUGGGGAUGACGUCAAGUCAUCAUGGCCCUUACGACCAGGGCUACACACGUGCUACAAUGGCAUAUACAAAGAGAAGCGACCUCGCGAGAGCAAGCGGACCUCAUAAAGUAUGUCGUAGUCCGGAUUGGAGUCUGCAACUCGACUCCAUGAAGUCGGAAUCGCUAGUAAUCGUAGAUCAGAAUGCUACGGUGAAUACGUUCCCGGGCCUUGUACACACCGCCCGUCACACCAUGGGAGUGGGUUGCAAAAGAAGUAGGUAGCUUAACCUUCGGGAGGGCGCUUACCACUUUGUGAUUCAUGACUGGGGUGAAGUCGUAACAAGGUAACCGUAGGGGAACCUGCGGUUGGAUCACCU